This 418-nucleotide ribosomal RNA is filed under the name uncultured bacterium. RNAcentral describes it as "bacterial SSU rRNA". It matches the Rfam family "Bacterial small subunit ribosomal RNA", at positions 357 to 772 of the family's 1533-position model. The record is from RNAcentral.
AGGAAUAUUGGGCAAUGGACGGAAGUCUGACCUAGCCAUGCCGCGUGCAGGAAGACGGCCCUAUGGGUUGUAAACUGCUUCUCUGAGGGAAGAAAAAUAGGUAUUUAUAGGUAUCUGACGGUACCUCAGGAAUAAGCACCGGCUAACUCCGUGCCAGCAGCCGCGGUAAUACGGAGGGUGCAAGCGUUAUCCGGAAUUACUGGGUUUAAAGGGUGCGUAGGCGGUUAGAUAAGUCAGUGGUGAAAGGUUGCCGCUUAACGGUAGAAUGGCCAUUGAUACUGUUUAACUUGAAUCAGGAUGAGGUUAGCGGAAUGAGACAUGUAGCGGUGAAAUGCAUAGAUAUGUCUUAGAACACCAAUUGCGAAGGCAGCUAGCUAGACCUAGAUUGACGCUGAGGCACGAAAGCGUGGGGAGCGAA